GUGAACGCUGGCGGUAGGCCUAACACAUGCAAGUCGAACGGCAGCACAGUAAGAGCUUGCUCUUACGGGUGGCGAGUGGCGGACGGGUGAGGAAUACAUCGGAAUCUACUUUUUCGUGGGGGAUAACGUAGGGAAACUUACGCUAAUACCGCAUACGACCUACGGGUGAAAGCAGGGGAUCUUCGGACCUUGCGCGAUUGAAUGAGCCGAUGUCGGAUUAGCUAGUUGGCGGGGUAAAGGCCCACCAAGGCGACGAUCCGUAGCUGGUCUGAGAGGAUGAUCAGCCACACUGGAACUGAGACACGGUCCAGACUCCUAUGGGAGGCAGCAGUGGGGAAUAUUGGACAAAGGGCGCAAGCCUGAUCCGGCCAUACCGCGUGGGUGAAGAAGGCCUUCGGGUUGUAAAGCCCUUUUGUUGGGAAAGAAAAGCAGCAGGUUAAUACCCCGCUGUUCUGACGGUACCCAAAGAAUAAGCACCGGCUAACUUCGUG
Molecule: ribosomal RNA, 491 nt
Filed under: uncultured bacterium
Lineage: Bacteria
Description: partial 16S ribosomal RNA
Rfam family: Bacterial small subunit ribosomal RNA
Source: RNAcentral